CAGAGGUAACUGUCUCUAUGUCUCCUUGACAUUUAAGGUGGUCCUUUCCCGUCUGAGAUGAUUGCCAAGUGUGCACACAGCAGAUGCAAGCUGGUCUUCUAACAGGAGUAAAAGGGGGAAAUGCCCGGCACCCAACCUUUUGGGAAGGAUGGAUUCUUACAGUUGGAUAAAUAUUCCUAAAAGAAAGAAGUAAAUAUUUCCAAAGAAAACUAUUACCAAGAAGCAAGGAUGUUAAGAAAUAUUACUGAGAAGAAACUGAGAAGGAAAGAUUUGCUCUUUUGGAACACGAACAAUGAUACUGAUCCAAGCGGCUCCUGGAAAGGGCUUGGCACACGUGGAAAACUAAGACCAUAUUCCUGGAUCAAGAACCAAGAGUGGCACAUCUCCAUUCUGGAUCUGACACCUGAAAG
This is a long non-coding RNA of Neogale vison (American mink), 410 nucleotides long. RefSeq lists it as uncharacterized. NCBI's taxonomy places the organism in Eukaryota, Metazoa, Chordata, Mammalia, Carnivora, Mustelidae. The transcript has 3 exons. The record is from RefSeq and is a predicted model, not a curated record.